AGGCACUAGUCUAAAUACAGAGCCAUUAGCAGUUAUAAAGGGCCAUGGUUAAUGGAUUGAGCAGACCAUGAUAAUCCAACAGGGUGGGGCUUCCCAGGUGGCGCUAGGGGUAAAAAACACACCUGCUGAUGCAGCAGAUGUAAGAAAUGCUGGUUCGAUCCCUGCGGUGAGAAGAUCCCCUAGAGAAGGAAACAGCAACCCACUCCAGUAUUCUUGCCUGGGAAAUUCCACGAAUAGAGGAGCCUGGUGGGCUACAGUCCAUGGGAUCACAAAGAGCUGGACAUGGCUGAAGCGACUUAGCAUGCAUGCAUUCAAGAAGGUUGGGAGAUGCCCUGAGGGAAGUCAAGAACUUAUAUGCAGGUGUCCUCCAAGGCAUUAAGGCAUGUUUCCCAAGAACAUUGCCCAGUUCAAUUCCCGUGUGAUGGGUCUGCUUCCUGGGAAACUUAACCUGCAGUAGUGGCAGGGGUGGUCCAAGAAAAUAGAUGCUCAUGAGGGAUUCUGAAGUUGCCAGCCAUCUCGAAGUGAGGACCCUGAUCAUCAGAAGGAGGAGGGCUGCUCUACAUAAUGCAACAGAGAAGAAGGAAAAGAGAUACAAUGGAAUCUUGGAAGAACUCUUUUCAGAAUUUAUAUGAAGUGGAUCUGAGUAGUGCAAAUGGUGAGCCAUAGUGAAAGAUCUGAUCUGCCACUCUGUCCACUAAAGACUGAAGUACAUUCCUCCAGCUACUGAUGGCACCAUUGGUUGACAGUCAUCAGAAAUUAUCAUUAGCUGGAGAGUUCUGCCAUGCACAAAUUUCCCAUGCUUCUUUCCUCAGGGCAGCUCAAAUCUGAUAACUGAUCAAUGUAUAGUAUAAAGACCCAAAUCCCUCACCUUAUCCCAGGACAACAUUAAAGGGCAUCAAGCUUCAGGAUCCCUAAAGGCUUGGCCUAGUCUUUGCUGAGAUUACAUCACAGUGCAAGUUCUUCCCAUGUCCAAUUCUGUUUCCUUCUCUUCCUUUCCAUGAUGUCCAUCCUGAGAGUGAAAUUCACUCAGUCGUGUCUGACUGUUUGUGACCCCAUGGACUAUACAGUCCAUGGAAUUCUCCAGGACAGAAUAUUGAAGUGUAGCCAUUCCUUUCUCCAGGGGAUCUUCCCAAUCCAGGGAUUGAACCCAGGUCUCCCAUGUGGCAGGCAGAUUCUUUACUAGCUGAUCCACAAGGGAAGCCCAAUCCUAAGAGUGCUCCCUAUAAAAAUUUCUCCACACUAAUAUCCAACCCAGAGUUUGCUUCCUAAGAAAUCCACCCUACUACAAAAACAUCAUCGGGACAGCUCAUAGAAUUUGAAUAUGGACUCUUGAUUAGAUAAAGGGAUUGUACCAGUGUUAAAUUUCCCAAUUUUUAAAAAUGGUUUUAAUUGUUUUUUAAUUGUUGUUCUUCAAUACCUAAAUCGUGUCCAACUCUUUGCAACCCCAUGGACUGCAGCAAGCCAGGCUUCCUGGUCCUUCACUGUCUCCCGCAGUUUGCUCAAAUUCAUGUCCAUUGAGUCAGUGAUGCCAUCCAAUCAUUUCAUCCUGUCACCUCCCUUUGUCCUCAAUCUUUCCCAGCAUCAGGGUCUUUUCC
Molecule: long non-coding RNA, 1595 nt
Organism: Bos taurus (domestic cattle)
Lineage: Eukaryota; Metazoa; Chordata; Mammalia; Artiodactyla; Bovidae
Source: Ensembl